CGUAACAAGGUUUCCGUAGGUGAACCUGUGGAAGGAUCAUUGUCGAACCUUCGAACAACCCGCGAACACGUUACAACUCUUCGAGGGGGGACGGAGUGCGGGCGUGAGCCCAUCGCUUCCAUCGACCCUCUCCCUGUUCGGGAGGCCCAGGAGCCCCGCCCAUCGUCGUGCCNAGUGCACGGGCGGGGAACGGCCCGCGGUGGCCCUCUUGAGCAAACAACAAACCCCUGCGCGAAACACGCCAAGGAACCUCAUAACGAAGCAACGCACUCCCGUUGCCCUAGUCCCGAUUGGGGAGUCGUCGUCUUUUCAUCAAACACAAAAGUCUCUCGGCAACGGAUAUCUAGGUUCUCGCAUCGAUGAAGAACGUAGCAAAAUGCGAUACUUGGAGUGAAUUACAGAAUCCCGUGAAUCAUCAAGUCUUUGAAUGUAAGUUGCACUCGAAGCCAUGAAGCUGAGGGCACACCUACCUGGGCGUCACGCACCCGUCGCCCCCCCACCUUCCUCUCCCCCGAGGCCCCGUGCUCGGGAAUGGGAGGCAAAGAGGGGGCGGACAUUGGCCUCUCGUGGGCACCCUAGUCUGUGGUUGGCCGAAAAUCGGUCUCACGGCGACGUACGCCAUGGCGAGCGGUGAUUCGUAUGGCUCUGCGUUNCGCGCGUCAUGUUGCCUUAGGGGCUCCCCACGAGACCCUCGAUCACGACCCCAGGUCAGGCGGGACCACCCGCUGAGUUUAAGCAUAUCAAUAA
This 747-nucleotide ribosomal RNA is filed under the name Vitis longii. RNAcentral describes it as "eukaryotic LSU rRNA". The stretch from base 325 to 480 matches the Rfam family "5.8S ribosomal RNA". The record is from RNAcentral. Lineage: Eukaryota; Viridiplantae; Streptophyta; Magnoliopsida; Vitales; Vitaceae.